AGAGUUUGAUCAUGGCUCAGAUUGAACGCUGGCGGCAGGCCUAACACAUGCAAGUCGAGCGGAAACGAGAAUAGCUUGCUAUUCGGCGUCGAGCGGCGGACGGGUGAGUAAUGCCUGGGAAAUUGCCCUGAUGUGGGGGAUAACCAUUGGAAACGAUGGCUAAUACCGCAUAACGCCUUCGGGCCAAAGAGGGGGACCUUCGGGCCUCUCGCGUCAGGAUAUGCCCAGGUGGGAUUAGCUAGUUGGUGAGGUAAAGGCUCACCAAGGCGACGAUCCCUAGCUGGUCUGAGAGGAUGAUCAGCCACACUGGAACUGAGACACGGUCCAGACUCCUACGGGAGGCAGCAGUGGGGAAUAUUGCACAAUGGGCGCAAGCCUGAUGCAGCCAUGCCGCGUGUAUGAAGAAGGCCUUCGGGUUGUAAAGUACUUUCAGCAGUGAGGAAGGGUGUGAGGUUAAUAGCCUUAUAUCUUGACGUUAGCUGCAGAAGAAGCACCGGCUAACUCCGUGCCAGCAGCCGCGGUAAU
Molecule: ribosomal RNA, 525 nt
Filed under: uncultured Vibrio sp.
Lineage: Bacteria; Pseudomonadati; Pseudomonadota; Gammaproteobacteria; Vibrionales; Vibrionaceae
Description: bacterial SSU rRNA
Rfam family: Bacterial small subunit ribosomal RNA
Source: RNAcentral